UGCCUAACACAUGCAAGUCGAGCGGAGAAAAGUAGAGUAGCUUGCUACAAACUUUACUUAGCGGCGGACGGGUGAGUAACGCGUGGGCGAAUCUGCCUCUUACAGGGGGAGUAACAACAGGGAAACCGUAGUGCUAAUACCGCAUAACAUCGUUUCAAGGCAUCUUGAGACGCUCAAAGGAAGCAAUCCAGUAAGAGAGGAGCCCGCGUCUGAUUAGCUAGUUGGUAAGGUAACGGCUUACCAAGGCAACGAUCAGUAGCCGAACUGAGAGGUUGAUCGGCCACAUCGGGACUGAGACACGGCCCAGACUCCUACGGGAGGCAGCAGUGGGGAAUAUUGCAACCAAUGGGGGAAACCCGUGAUGCAGCAACGCCGCGUGAAGGAUGAAGGCCUUCGGGUUGUAAACUUCUUUGACCGGGGACGAUAAUGACGGUACCCGGAAAACAAGCCACGGCUAACUACGUGCCAGCCGCCGC
Molecule: ribosomal RNA, 476 nt
Filed under: uncultured bacterium
Lineage: Bacteria
Description: bacterial SSU rRNA
Rfam family: Bacterial small subunit ribosomal RNA
Source: RNAcentral